CAGUCGCCGCGGGAAUACGAAGGGGGCUAGCGCUGUUCGGAUUUACUGGGCGUAAAGCGCACGUAGGCGGAUUCUUAAGUCAGAGGUGAAAUCCCAAGGCUCAACCUUGGAACUGCCUUUGAUACUGGGGAUCUCGAGCCCGGGAGAGGUGAGUGGAACUGCGAGUGUAGAGGUGAGAUUCGUAGAUAUUCGCAAGAACACCAGUGGCGAAGGCGGCUCACUGGCCCGGUACUGACGCUGAGGUGCGAAAGCUAGGGGAGCAAACAGGAUUAGAUACCCCUGUAGUCCCUGUCUCUUAUAC
Molecule: ribosomal RNA, 301 nt
Filed under: uncultured bacterium
Lineage: Bacteria
Description: partial 16S ribosomal RNA
Rfam family: Bacterial small subunit ribosomal RNA
Source: RNAcentral